This 1453-nucleotide ribosomal RNA is filed under the name uncultured bacterium. RNAcentral describes it as "bacterial SSU rRNA". It matches the Rfam family "Bacterial small subunit ribosomal RNA". The record is from RNAcentral.
CGGCAGGCCUAACACAUGCAAGUCGAACGGUAGCACAGAGAGCUUGCUCUCGGGUGACGAGUGGCGGACGGGUGAGUAAUGUCUGGGAAACUGCCUGAUGGAGGGGGAUAACUACUGGAAACGGUAGCUAAUACCGCAUAACGUCGCAAGACCAAAGAGGGGGACCUUCGGGCCUCUUGCCAUCAGAUGUGCCCAGAUGGGAUUAGCUAGUAGGUGGGGUAAUGGCUCACCUAGGCGACGAUCCCUAGCUGGUCUGAGAGGAUGACCAGCCACACUGGAACUGAGACACGGUCCAGACUCCUACGGGAGGCAGCAGUGGGGAAUAUUGCACAAUGGGCGCAAGCCUGAUGCAGCCAUGCCGCGUGUAUGAAGAAGGCCUUCGGGUUGUAAAGUACUUUCAGCGGGGAGGAAGGUGUUGCGGUUAAUAACCGCAGCAAUUGACGUUACCCGCAGAAGAAGCACCGGCUAACUCCGUGCCAGCAGCCGCGGUAAUACGGAGGGUGCAAGCGUUAAUCGGAAUUACUGGGCGUAAAGCGCACGCAGGCGGUCUGUUAAGUCGGAUGUGAAAUCCCCGGGCUCAACCUGGGAACUGCAUUCGAAACUGGCAGGCUAGAGUCUUGUAGAGGGGGGUAGAAUUCCAGGUGUAGCGGUGAAAUGCGUAGAGAUCUGGAGGAAUACCGGUGGCGAAGGCGGCCCCCUGGACAAAGACUGACGCUCAGGUGCGAAAGCGUGGGGAGCAAACAGGAUUAGAUACCCUGGUAGUCCACGCCGUAAACGAUGUCCACUUGGAGGUGUUUCCCUUGAGGAUGGCUUCCGGAGCUAACCCGUUAAGUCGACCGCCUGGGGAGUACGGCCGCAAGGUUAAAACUCAAAUGAAUUGACGGGGGCCCGCACAAGCGGUGGAGCAUGUGGUUUAAUUCGAUGCAACGCGAAGAACCUUACCUACUCUUGACAUCCAGAGAACUUUCCAGAGAUGGAUUGGUGCCUUCGGAAACUCUGAGACAGGUGCUGCAUGGCUGUCGUCAGCUCGUGUUGUGAAAUGUUGGGUUAAGUCCCGCAACGAGCGCAACCCUUAUCCUUUGUUGCCAGCGGUCCGGCCGGGAACUCAAAGGAGACUGCCAGUGAUAAACUGGAGGAAGGUGGGGAUGACGUCAAGUCAUCAUGGCCCUUACGAGUAGGGCUACACACGUGCUACAAUGGCGCAUACAAAGAGAAGCGACCUCGCGAGAGCAAGCGGACCUCAUAAAGUGCGUCGUAGUCCGGAUUGGAGUCUGCAACUCGACUCCAUGAAGUCGGAAUCGCUAGUAAUCGUAGAUCAGAAUGCUACGGUGAAUACGUUCCCGGGCCUUGUACACACCGCCCGUCACACCAUGGGAGUGGGUUGCAAAAGAAGUAGGUAGCUUAACCUUCGGGAGGGCGCUUACCACUUUGUGAUUCAUGACUGGGGUGAAGU